Molecule: ribosomal RNA, 253 nt
Filed under: uncultured bacterium
Lineage: Bacteria
Description: partial 16S ribosomal RNA
Rfam family: Bacterial small subunit ribosomal RNA
Source: RNAcentral
UACGGAGGAUGCAAGCGUUAUCCGGAAUUAUUGGGCGUAAAGGGUCCGCAGGUGGCAGUGUAAGUCUGCUGUCAAAGAAUGAGGCUUAACCUCAUCAAGGCAGUGGAAACUACACAGCUAGAGUACGGUCGGGGUAGAAGGAAUUCCUGGUGUAGCGGUGAAAUGCGUAGAGAUCAGGAAGAACACCGGUGGCGAAAGCGUUCUGCUAGACCUGUACUGACACUGAGGGACGAAAGCUAGGGGAGCGAAUGGG